AUGUUGAUUCCUCACAACUCCUCACUUGAUUUGCUUGCUGCUGAAGCCACGUUGAGUCCAAUGUACUUUACACGCUGCACGCCUGGAGUAUGCAUCCAAGACGACCUUACUGCUACGACCGGGACCAGCUUGCAGAUCUUCUCCUUCAAGAUCGCGAAGAUUAAAGGCGACUUAAAGUGGCCUCUCUAUGUGUAUGGCAUGGUUGCUAGGGACGAAGUGGAUUUCAACCGCAACAUUCUCUUCAAUCGAACAAGGAAUAACGCCCAAGAAGUCACAGAAGAUGAUCCAUUUUUACGCUUGAUUGGCCCAGCUCGGGCAAUUUUGCCUGAACUUGAGUUUGAAGUCGAACUAAGGGUUAAGGGCAGAACAAAGUCUCACGAUAAAGCAUUGAUCAAUAAAAGAUACCCUUUCAUCAAUUAGGGUACUGGUCUCUUCACCCUUGACUUAAACAACUGUCGUUGUAGAAUCGAGUUAAGCCUGGACUAACUUACGAAUUCAGUUCAGGCCACUAUCAUGGGUGUCCGGAUCGUUAAGGGUGGCCCGUGGACAUUCAAAUACGGGGGCCGAGUUGCUUCCUCGUCACCACCUCAUGAAGUUUGGGUCAUAGAUAGUCAAGGCACUGUUUUGGAGGUUACUGAUCCGCCAUCCAUACAAGUUGUGUUGCUUGAUUCUCGAUAUUGUGAUAGUGGAGAAAUGCCAAUGGGUACUGAUGGUUACCUUGAUCUAACAAGGCGUGUUGUCUCUGUGGAAUUACGAGAAAGCCAUGUUUAUUAUCCAAAAAAGUUUGAAGAGACCUUCAAAGUUGUCAUACAAGCCUAUUCAGAAUCUGGUGAUGUUGCUGCACAAGGUCAUGUCAAGCUCACCCCCAAACUUUGCAACAUAAGUCAAGCUGUAUGUGACCUUGGCGACUCCAAGGUGGAGAUUACCGUUGCUUGGUCGGCCCAUGUUGAAAGCAACAUAUUCCUUUGA
Molecule: ribosomal RNA, 969 nt
Filed under: Triticum aestivum (bread wheat)
Lineage: Eukaryota; Viridiplantae; Streptophyta; Magnoliopsida; Poales; Poaceae
Description: partial small subunit ribosomal RNA
Source: RNAcentral